AUACUUCUUCGCCCGUAACAUCCACCCGCAGCUAGGACAAAGACAUUUUACCUUGAGGAAUUUGCUGCAGCUCUACAACGUAGCAUAAUCAAAAGAAUUUCUCACAGCUGCUACGUCCAACAACAAUUUCAGCUCCUUUUUACUGCUAAAUGUUUGAUUUACCUGAAAAGUAGUUCCGUCGGAGAAGGUGUGGUUGGUUUGUGCUCCCAAUUCGCACUCUUCUCCCCCUUCUUCAGAGAAAAUUGGAUCUUUCAAUUCCAUUGAAUCAUCUUCCGAAUCCAUUGGAUUAACAUCCAA
Molecule: long non-coding RNA, 297 nt
Filed under: Capsicum annuum
Lineage: Eukaryota; Viridiplantae; Streptophyta; Magnoliopsida; Solanales; Solanaceae
Description: long non-coding RNA (CANN_LNC000399)
Source: RNAcentral